CAAUAGCGUAUAUUAAAGUUGUUGCAGUUAAAAAGCUCGUAGUUGGAUUUCUGGUUGAAGCGACCGGUCGGGCGUUGAUUCGUCUGCACUGGAGUCGGUUUUGGCCAUCCUCUAGGAAAGUGCGUCUGGUAUUAAGUUAUCGGGCGUAUGAUCCUGGUCUUUUACUGUGAAAAAAUUAGAGUGUUUAAAGCAGGCCUUCGCCUUGAAUACAUUAGCAUGGAAUAAUAAGAUAGGACUUUGGUCUAUUUUGUUGGUUUGCAGACCGAAGUAAUGAUUAUAGGGAUAGUUGGGGGUAUUUAUAUUCCGAUGUCAGAGGUGAAAUUCUUAGAUUUUCGGAAGAUAAACUUAUGCGAAAGCAUUUACCAAGGAUGUUUUCAUUAA
RNAcentral lists this ribosomal RNA (381 nucleotides) under uncultured eukaryote. Its description in RNAcentral is "partial 18S ribosomal RNA". It matches the Rfam family "Eukaryotic small subunit ribosomal RNA", at positions 592 to 976 of the family's 1831-position model. The record is from RNAcentral.